Molecule: long non-coding RNA, 3071 nt
Organism: Onychostoma macrolepis
Lineage: Eukaryota; Metazoa; Chordata; Actinopteri; Cypriniformes; Cyprinidae
Exons: 7
Source: RefSeq, a predicted model, not a curated record
UAUAUCUUGACUGAAUCACGCGGUUGCUCCACGGGUUGCAAGAAAGACUCUUUCAGUUCUUUAAAACAAAGGAGCUUUGUUUUUCCUGAUUAAGUUAGUCAUUAUCACCGAUGAGAAAACGCUGACAGGAAACGGCUCAAACCGUGAUCUGAGAUUAAUCGUUAACUAGUCUCAUGACCGCAGAUGUCUACAGAGGACUCCUUUUACUCUUACUCCUUUUUUUGCUGUUAAACACAAAUCUUGGUGUUUCCGUUUGCAUGAGGUCCUACAGCACCUUGCUUUCCAUCUCUUUCAACACCACAACAGCAGCCACAUCAGUCAGUUUCUGUCAACUGGCAGAAUCAAGGAAGUGUGAUUAAUCCACAAUCUCUUCGAGAUGAAAUCUACAAGUUAUUUGAGAAUUUAGAAAGAAGAAUCAUGUUGAAACUGGACCAAAUCCAGAACAACAUUGCAUCAGCGGCUGAAACAAUGCAGCAAUCAACAAGCCAGCCAAGCAGCUCUGUCUCUGAUCUCACAGAGGUGCUGGAGCAGCCCUGUAAGACUGUAGAGGAAUUAGAGUAGCUGUGUGAUGAGCUGAAAGAUGCUGAAUUUCGAAAGAAGAUGAUUCGUUAUCUGUGUCUUCGGAGUGGUGGCAGCUUGGGAGAUGGAAUUCGGAGGAUGCUGAAAAAAAAUUGGAGAUAAUUCCUUAUGGGAAUAUUACAGUUACAAAGGGAGAAAGGGAAAACUUAAAUUUCAACAUCUCCUUAUCAAUAAUGUCAUCAUACGCAAGUUUCAAAACUUGCCACUAAUGACUAAUAAUCUGUCUAUUUCAAGAGAUCACAUUAUUUGGAUUGUAAAUAAGUUGUAAAUAAGAUUUGGUAGGUUGUAAAUGUUGUUACUCCUUUUUAAAUGUAAAAGUUGUAAGUUCUUCUCAAUACAUAUAUAUAUAUGUAUAUUCAUCGGAGAAAGAAGAUUAAUGUUUGAUGUUUUUAGAAUAGAACUUUGUCAUUCUAAUUUCUAGUUUUAAUUUUAAUAAUGGUGAUCUCUGUAUUAAAUCAAGGUGCCUGCAGCAAGGCAUACCCACACCAAAAAUCCCAGAGUGUGGAAGACAUGAUUGCUGUCACCCUAAAACAUGCCCGGAUCGUGAUAAAAAAAAAGUUAAUCAGAGGAAAACUCAAUGUUACGGAUGUGACAUCUCUCCGUAACGGACUUGACAGUUCUGAAAGCAGAAUUUAUCCGACCAAAUGCGUAUAAAAUGCUUUAAAGACUUAUCAGCGACGUCUGGGUACGGCUGCCUCCCAUUAAAGAUUUUUCUAGUAAACUAGUGGUUCGUUUAAGCCAUUAUUCAGCCUAAUGCAGACAAUAAGCAUAAGAACAUCAGAGAUCAUAAAAAAACAAUCAGUAGCUAUAUGUCAUAAGACAACUUACCGUACUUGAUUUCACAGUAAAAGGUAUUUUUCGUACGGCUUUCAUGAGGCUUAAGAUGUAUAAGCGCAUGUGACAAAGUCGUUAUGGAAAUUAAGCUUAAUAAACUCAUGUGCAGACAUCGAGAAUGACGUUUGCAUUUACACAUAGGCUACACAACUUUAACAGAUUCUCCCACUUUAAGGUUUGAGUGACUGUUCACACCAAUAUCCCAGCUAACAAAUAAAGGUCCCCAGAACAUCCCCUAAAUGGCCUCUUGCGAACGUCCUCCGAAUGUCAUCUGAAUGUCAUUUUAUUUUAAUUAAUGAUGACGUUUACAAAUUAAAUUAAUAUGUUAGAAAAGAUUUGAGUGGAUGCUUUUCAGUAUUAACGCAGAAUUUAGCUGUGGUUUCAUCGCAAGGAAACAUUUUAGACAUAUGUUUUAUGACAUGAAUGUGUUCGUUUCAUUGUUUUAAGUUAGAAGCCAACGGGAAGAGCUACCAUCGGAAUAACGCGGAGACACAGCUGCUUUGCUUGACUCAGCCUCCCACCCACGCCCGGAAAAAGCACAUUUUUAAUUUGCUAAAGAGUCAUAUGUAGACUAAUUUAAAAUUGAACCUGUAUGUCGUUUCUGUAGCAUUGAUGUAAUUCGUCUCUUUAUUUUUGCUUAAUUAUACAUUUAUGUAUUUUAUUUUUUCUUGCAAGCCCAUUUAUUCUUUGAUGUUUUGUUAUAGUUGUAUAUAUAUCUUUUAUUUCUUAACAUCUAAUAAAAAAAAAAGAAAGAAAAAAAACCUUUGCAUUUUUAAAAAUAAAAAUGUAGCAAACAUGUUCCAACUAUUUUCACAUGUCUAUUUUCUUUGGUUAGCCUAAAAGUAAAAUAAAAUGACAUUCAGAGGACUUAAAGCGAAAGUCCCCUAAACGUCCCGAAUGGCCGCUGCACAUCCUGUGAACAUCCCCGUGAACAUCAGGACGUCUUCGCGAACGUCCGCUCGACGUCAAGGGGACCCUACACACUAACGUCCGGGAGACAUUCGCAGAGGCCGUUUAGGGGACUUCCUGGGGACCUUUUUAUGUUAGCUGGGUAGCUAUUGAAUGACCUGGAACUCGCAAGACAUCAAUUCAGCUAUAAAACAAGGCAUUACAGAAAAAGAGGAAAACACUAAAUUUUGACCUUAUUGUACGAUCUCAGAUGACUUUAAGUUCACUUACUGCAGUUUAACAAUGGAGAGGCGGUCUCCAGUUACAGCCUUCUCUGCGUUCAUUCAUUCAAGCAGGCGCGUGCUGCUGACAUCACACAAGCUGUGUCCCAAAGCUAAGUGUACGCACUUCGGAGUGCAUGGACUUUGAAGGCCACGCCUCCAAAGUGCACGAAGGACCCUUGGAAGUGCUUGAGACGCUCCGCCUUUGCAGGAUUUACUAAUUGCACAACCAGGUGUUCCGCAUUGCCGCUCCUGUCGCAUAGCAACGGUGCGAGAGGAGAGCUGCCCUCUUGACAGGACAGGUGGAGCCAGAGUUGAUCAUUUUUGUUUCUGUUUUACAUUAUAAUGGAGGAGACGGUGAUGUACCUCAGGCUUAGCCAAGACCGAGGCCAGGACAGCAACACUACAAAAAUAUGGUCUUUUACAACAUGAUGCAUUGUGUAGAUUAAACCCAACAGCACAGGUGCAUCUCAAUAAAUUUGAAUGUCG